This 855-nucleotide long non-coding RNA is filed under the name Struthio camelus australis. Its description in RNAcentral is "lncRNA (ENSSCUG00000017022.1)". Lineage: Eukaryota; Metazoa; Chordata; Aves; Struthioniformes; Struthionidae. The record is from RNAcentral.
CUCAGGGACUAGGAAUUAUUGGAUUGCUAUGGACGGGUUUUUGCAGCCUAUCCUAUUCCUCGAUGGAGCAGGACAAGGGAGUGAGCAGGGCUGGGUCAGCCUCAAACCUUAAGUUCCACAGAGCCCCCCAGGACUGGGUAGGAGAAAUGGACCUGAGGACUGCACCUGCAUGUGAUUGGCAGGUCUGGGACUGCAGAGGUCCAUAAAGACUAAUCACAGUCAUCGUUGUAGAUCCCAGAAGAGCGCAACCAGUUUUAUACCCCACUCCCACAAAACUUUGUUGAGAGUUUUCUGAAGGCAUGUCGCAGAAGUGCACAGGAGAAUUUGGAUGGAAGUUUGGAAAGGCAUCAAGGGCAUGAGAGCAUGAUCUUGCACUUCUAAACUGCGAGAUUGAAAACCCAGCCUUUAGAGAUCAGUUGGAGUUUUGCCAUUGACAUCAAUGAAACCUGGGCUCUCUCCUUUUUCCUGGUAAAUUACAUUGUCCUGAACGCUGAGAUCUUACUACUGCAUGUAGAGCUCAAUACAAGAGAGGUGCUGCGCUUCUCAAACGCCAUUUGUGACGUUAAUAUGAACACGAUGGGCAGCGCUUACACGACGAGGCUUCGGAAGCAGCAUCGUAUAGAGGUCUGCAGCAAGUCUUUAACCAAGAUUUUUGUGGAACACGGGUGUGAAGGAUACUGUGUGUGUGGAUAGAUUCCAAGAGACUCUAAAAGGUGAAAACAAAGAUGAUCCAGUUGACAAAGCAAGUUUGAACAUGCAGCUUCUCCAUGGAAGAGGCCCUUGUUGACUGGGGAAUGUUCCUCCAGGUGAGCUGAACUGUAAAACUCUGUUCUGCCAUUACUGUGGUGUCCUUUU